This 442-nucleotide ribosomal RNA is filed under the name uncultured bacterium. RNAcentral describes it as "partial 16S ribosomal RNA". It matches the Rfam family "Bacterial small subunit ribosomal RNA", at positions 338 to 795 of the family's 1533-position model. The record is from RNAcentral.
ACUACGGGAGGCAGCAGUGGGGAAUAUUGGGCAAUGGGCGCAAGCCUGACCCAGCAACGCCGCGUGAAGGAAGAAGGCUUUCGGGUUGUAAACUUCUUUUGACAGGGAAGAGCAGAAGACGGUACCUGUCGAAUAAGCCACGGCUAACUACGUGCCAGCAGCCGCGGUAAUACGUAGGUGGCAAGCGUUGUCCGGAUUUACGGGGUGUAAAGGGCGUGUAGCCGGGCUGACAAGUCAGAUGUGAAAUCCGGGGGCUCAACCCCCGAACUGCAUUUGAAACUGUUGGUCUUGAGUAUCGGAGAGGCAGGCUGACUUCCUAGUGUAGCGGUGCAAUGCGUAGAUAUUAGGAGGAACACCAGUGGCGAAGGCGGCCUGCUGGACGACAACUGACGGUGAGGCGCGAAAGCGUGGGGAGCAAACAGGAUUAGAUACCCUUGUAGUC